Molecule: long non-coding RNA, 353 nt
Filed under: Mus spicilegus (steppe mouse)
Lineage: Eukaryota; Metazoa; Chordata; Mammalia; Rodentia; Muridae
Description: lncRNA (ENSMSIG00000006875.1)
Source: RNAcentral
UGGCUAGAUCUUUGGGAUUAUUUUUUUUUCCCCUUCUUUCCCUCUCUCUCUUUCUGGAGGGUGUGUGUUGUCCCCUCGAAGUGAAGGAAUUUUGCUCCAAAGCGAGCUGGGACCGAAGACUCUAGGCUAAGUUCUCUCUCUAUGUAGAUGGUGUCAGGGAGCGAAGCUACUGACCGAGCUGCUGUUACACCUGCUCUUUAUUGCUGAAACCCACUGGAACUUGCUCUGCUUCUUGGGUUGGCCAGUGAGCACUCCCAGAAACGCAGCUGAGUUCUACAUCAGACAUCCACCCACUUGGUGGGUGAAGUGACAGGUGCCACAACUCCAGCCUCCCCUUUUCUGAAAGUCGCGGA